GCCAACCCACAAAGCCCAAAUCCACCAAACCACAAUCAGACGUACAAGCUUGGAAGUCUGAGCAAGCUCCUGGGUUGUUGGAUCUAGCCACGCUUCCCCUUCUUUCAUAAUCAUGAAGGAGAGCAUUGAAGUCCCCAAUAGCGCACCAAGGACUACUAAUAUCACUAGCAAAAUCUAUCAGAUCAUUCCAUAACUCUCUUCUGUAAAUUUUCUGUGGGGAGCCAUAAACUGCACCCAGGAACCACCGUUCAGAGUUGUUGUUAGAUACUCCGAGGUGAACAACUUAUCUACUGUGCCUCACAAUAUCCACCCUCCAAACUCCUGAGUCCCACAAGAUCUAAAUCCCACCAGACCUCCCCAAAGCUUCAACAGUGAAGGACCCAUCAAAACCCAACUUAUCUCUAACCUCUUUGGCUCGAUCCCCACUAAUCUGAGUCUCAAGAAGAAUAAUCAUACCAGCAUGAUAUUCACGUUUCAAUUCCUUAAUAAGGAAAGGAAAAUUCUUUCCCCCCGCUCCUCUACAGUUCCAAGCGAUAAUACUAUUCAUAAGGACAAAACAAGAAGGAAGGUUACCAAGAACCACGGUCAAGCUUGGACAUUUUCCCUUUUCUCUGAGUUAGACCUCACAACGGGUGUCGUCGCUUGUGACACUUCAUUAAUAGAAGAAGCCCCGAUACUAAUAUCUGGUGGUCUUCCUCCUCCACCGAUUCUAUCGUGGUCGCUGCGAUCCAUGAUCUUACGUGGCGGCAGUUGAUUAAGGAAAUUAUUAGUAGCAAUAUGUUCUUCCAAGAACUCACCAGAUCUUUUUGGUAU
Arachis ipaensis is the source of this 813-nucleotide non-coding RNA. The record is from RefSeq and is a predicted model, not a curated record. Lineage: Eukaryota; Viridiplantae; Streptophyta; Magnoliopsida; Fabales; Fabaceae.